Molecule: ribosomal RNA, 432 nt
Filed under: uncultured bacterium
Lineage: Bacteria
Description: partial 16S ribosomal RNA
Rfam family: Bacterial small subunit ribosomal RNA
Source: RNAcentral
CCUACGGGUGGCAGCAGUGGGGAAUAUUGGACAAUGGGCGCAAGCCUGAUCCAGCCAUACCGCGUGGGUGAAGAAGGCCUUCGGGUUGUAAAGCCCUUUUGUUGGGAAAGCGGUACCCAAAGAAUAAGCACCGGCUAACUUCGUGCCAGCAGCCGCGGUAAUACGAAGGGUGCAAGCGUUACUCGGAAUUACUGGGCGUAAAGCGUGCGUAGGUGGUUGUUUAAGUCUGUCGUGAAAGCCCUGGGCUCAACCUGGGAAUUGCGAUGGAAACUGGGCGACUAGAGUGUGGCAGAGGAUAGUGGAAUUCCUGGUGUAGCAGUGAAAUGCGUAGAGAUCAGGAGGAACAUCCGUGGCGAAGGCGACUGUCUGGGCCAAACUGACACUGAGGCACGAAAGCGUGGGGAGCAAACAGGAUUAGAUACCCCAGUAGUC